UGGAUCCAGACUUUGAUUCUGGCUCAGGACGAACGCUGGCGGCACGCUUAACACAUGCAAGUCGAACGGAGAAUAUCGAAGCUUGCUUUGAUAUUCUUAGUGGCGGACGGGUGAGUAACACGUGAGUAACCUGCCUCUGAGAGUGGGACAGCUUCUGGAAACGGAUGGUAAUACCGCAUGAAAUCAUAGUAUCGCAUGGUACAAUGAUCAAAGAUUUAUCGCUCAGAGAUGGACUCGCGUCUGAUUAGCUAGUUAGUAAGGUAACGGCUUACCAAGGCGACGAUCAGUAGCCGGACUGAGAGGUUGAUCGGCCACAUUGGGACUGAGACACGGCCCAGACUCCUACGGGAGGCAGCAGUGGGGAAUAUUGCACAAUGGGGGAAACCCUGAUGCAGCGAUGCCGCGUGGAGGAAGAAGGUUUUCGGAUUGUAAACUCCUGUUGAAGAGGACGAUAAUGACGGUACUCUUUUAGAAAGCUCCGGCUAACUACGUGCCAGCAGCCGCGGUAAUACGUAGGGAGCGAGCGUUGUCCGGAAUUACUGGGUGUAAAGGGAGCGUAGGCGGGACGGCAAGUCAGAUGUGAAAACUAUGGGCUCAACCCAUAGACUGCAUUUGAAACUGUUGUUCUUGAGUGAGGUAGAGGUAAGCGGAAUUCCUGGUGUAGCGGUGAAAUGCGUAGAGAUCAGGAGGAACAUCGGUGGCGAAGGCGGCUUACUGGGCCUUUACUGACGCUGAGGCUCGAAAGCGUGGGGAGCAAACAGGAUUAGAUACCCUGGUAGUCCACGCCGUAAACGAUGAUUACUAGGUGUGGGGGGACUGACCCCUUCCGUGCCGCAGUUAACACAAUAAGUAAUCCACCUGGGGAGUACGGCCGCAAGGUUGCAACUCAAAGGAAUUGACGGA
This 903-nucleotide ribosomal RNA is filed under the name uncultured organism. Its description in RNAcentral is "bacterial SSU rRNA". It matches the Rfam family "Bacterial small subunit ribosomal RNA", at positions 1 to 917 of the family's 1533-position model. The record is from RNAcentral.